GUGCCAGCAGCCGCGGUAAUACGUAGGGGGCGAGCGUUGUCCGGAUUUAUUGGGCGUAAAGCGCCCGCAGGCGGCUGCGCAAGCCGUGCGUGAAAUCUCUCGGCUCAACCGGGAGGGGUCGUGCGGGACUGUGCGGCUGGAGGCCGGUAGGGGGGAGUGGAAUUCCCGGUGUAGUGGUGGAAUGCGUAGAGAUCGGGAGGAACACCAGUGGCGAAGGCGGCUCCCUGGACCGGACCUGACGCUCAGGGGCGAAAGCGUGGGGAGCGAUCCGGAUUAGAUACCCUUGUAGUCC
RNAcentral lists this ribosomal RNA (292 nucleotides) under uncultured bacterium. RNAcentral describes it as "partial 16S ribosomal RNA". It matches the Rfam family "Bacterial small subunit ribosomal RNA", at positions 505 to 796 of the family's 1533-position model. The record is from RNAcentral.